UUAAGUUCAGCGGGUAUCCCUACCUGAUCCGAGGUCAACCAUAGAAAAUUAGGGGUUGAUGGCAAGCAUCCACCAGGACUCCAUAGCGAGAAGAAUUACUACGCUCAGAGCCAGAUGGCACCGCCACUGAUUUAAGGGCUGCCGGUGCGGCAGGCCCCAAUACCAAGCUGAGCUUGAGGGGUUAUAAUGACGCUCGAACA
This 200-nucleotide unclassified non-coding RNA is filed under the name Helotiales sp. RNAcentral describes it as "partial internal transcribed spacer 2". The record is from RNAcentral. Lineage: Eukaryota; Fungi; Ascomycota; Leotiomycetes; Helotiales.